UCGGUACGAGUCACAAAAAAGGCGUGACUGGAACACGUUCGGACAGUACCUGAAGAACCAAACACCGCCGGUUCCGCUGUCACAGUGUAAUUGCAACCACGUUUUGGAAUUCCUGAGGUACCUGGACCAGUUCGGAAAAACUAAGGUUCAUUUACAUGGGUGUGUUUUUUUCGGGCAGCCUGACCCACCUGCCCCUUGUACCUGCCCCCUCCGUCAAGCAUGGGGAAGUCUCGACGCUCUGAUCGGACGGCUGAGAGCAGCCUACGAGGAGCACGGCGGAUCACCCGAAACAAAUCCUUUUGGAAAUGGAGCAAUUCGAGUGUAUUUGAGGGAAGUGAAGGAGUGCCAAGCUAAAGCAAGAGGAAUUCCGUACAAG
This 376-nucleotide unclassified non-coding RNA is filed under the name Hevea brasiliensis (rubber tree). Lineage: Eukaryota; Viridiplantae; Streptophyta; Magnoliopsida; Malpighiales; Euphorbiaceae. The record is from RNAcentral.